UAUCGAAAACAUAAAUGCUAAUUAUUACAAGCAUUCAACUCACAUACACUUAACAUAUUACAUUAGCUUUCACUUAACUUCUAAAUACAAUCCGAUUUAACAUGAUUAUUACAAUUUAUUACUACUUGGUUCUUUUCUUUUCUUUUCAUAUCCCUGAGCAGCUGACUUAGGAUACUGCUAUCUUUGGUCUCGGUGGUAGGGCAUUAUCUAUAGCGCUACGCU
RNAcentral lists this long non-coding RNA (222 nucleotides) under Ananas comosus (pineapple). Its description in RNAcentral is "long non-coding RNA (ACOM_LNC043894)". The record is from RNAcentral. Lineage: Eukaryota; Viridiplantae; Streptophyta; Magnoliopsida; Poales; Bromeliaceae.